Small nuclear RNA from Rhododendron vialii, 198 nucleotides. RefSeq annotates it as U2 spliceosomal RNA. The record is from RefSeq and is a predicted model, not a curated record. NCBI's taxonomy places the organism in Eukaryota, Viridiplantae, Streptophyta, Magnoliopsida, Ericales, Ericaceae. The transcript has a single exon.
AUACGUUUCUCGGCCUUUUGGCUAAGAUCAAGUGUAGUAUCUGUUUUCAUCAGUUUAAUAUCUGAUACGUGGGUCAUUGGCUUAUAUGAUAUUAAAUUAAAUUUUUUAAGGGGAAAGAUCCAUCACAUUAGCUUGUUAUUGGGGCUUUUCGAAUGUCUCAUUGACGUUACACUACUGUCUAGGACUGGUGCACCCCAC